RNAcentral lists this ribosomal RNA (305 nucleotides) under uncultured bacterium. Its description in RNAcentral is "bacterial SSU rRNA". It matches the Rfam family "Bacterial small subunit ribosomal RNA", at positions 333 to 655 of the family's 1533-position model. The record is from RNAcentral.
CAUGGCCUACGGGGGGCAGCAGUGGGGAAUAUUGCACAAUGGGGGAAACCCUGAUGCAGCGACGCCACGUGAGUGAAGAAGUAUUUCGGUAUGUAAAGCUCUAUCAGCAGGGAAGAAAAUGACGGUACCUGACUAAGAAGCCCCGGUUGACUACGUGCCAGCAGCCGCGGUAAUACGUAGGGGGCAAGCGUUAUCCGGAUUUACUGGGUGUAAAGGGAGCGUAGACGGCGCGGCAAGUCUGAAGUGAAAGGCAGGGACUUAACCCCUGAACUGCUUUGGAAACUGCCAUGCUAGAGUGCUGGAGG